This 403-nucleotide ribosomal RNA is filed under the name uncultured bacterium. RNAcentral's name for it is "partial 16S ribosomal RNA". It matches the Rfam family "Bacterial small subunit ribosomal RNA", at positions 30 to 526 of the family's 1533-position model. The record is from RNAcentral.
AUUGAACGCUGGCGGCAGGCUUAACACAUGCAAGUCGAACGCAGUGGGGACGGGUGAGUAACACGUGGGUAACCUCCCAUCAGAAGGGAUAACACUUGGAAACAGGUGCUAAACCGAUACUGAUGGAUGGACCCUCGGUUCAUUGGCUAGUUGGUGAGGUAACGGCUCACCAAGGCCACGAUGCAGAGCCGACCUGAGAGGGUGAUCGGCCACACGGGGACUGAGACACGGCCCAGACUCCUACGGGAGGAAGCAGUAGGGAAUCUUCGGUAAUGGACGAAAGUCUGACCGAGCAACGCCGCGUGAGUGAAGAAGGUUUUCGGAUCGUAAAACUCUGUUGUUAGAGAAGCGGUAUCUAACCAGAAAGCCACGGCUAACUACGUGCCAGCAGCCGCGGUAAUAC